This 468-nucleotide ribosomal RNA is filed under the name uncultured bacterium. RNAcentral's name for it is "partial 16S ribosomal RNA". It matches the Rfam family "Bacterial small subunit ribosomal RNA", at positions 28 to 507 of the family's 1533-position model. The record is from RNAcentral.
GACGAACGCUGGCGGCGUGCUUAACACAUGCAAGUCGAACGGAAAGGCCCUGCUUUUGUGGGGUGCUCGAGUGGCGAACGGGUGAGUAACACGUGAGUAACCUGCCCUUGACUUUGGGAUAACUUCAGGAAACUGGGGCUAAUACCGGAUAGGAGCUCCUGCUGCAUGGUGGGGGUUGGAAAGUUUCGGCGGUUGGGGAUGGACUCGCGGCUUAUCAGCUUGUUGGUGGGGUAGUGGCUUACCAAGGCUUUGACGGGUAGCCGGCCUGAGAGGGUGACCGGCCACAUUGGGGCUGAGAUACGGCCCAGACUCCUACGGGAGGCAGCAGUGGGGAAUAUUGCACAAUGGGCGGAAGCCUGAUGCAGCAACGCCGCGUGCGGGAUGACGGCUUUCGGGUUGUAAACCGCUUUCGCCUGUGACGAAGCGUGAGUGACGGUAAUGGGUAAAGAAGCACCGGCUAACUACGUG